RNAcentral lists this unclassified non-coding RNA (240 nucleotides) under soil metagenome. Its description in RNAcentral is "partial contains 5.8S ribosomal RNA, internal transcribed spacer 2, and large subunit ribosomal RNA". The record is from RNAcentral.
AACUGAUACUACCUGCGGGAACCUGCGGAAGGAUCAUUGCUGGAACGCGCCCCAGGCGCACCCAGAAACCCUUUGUGAACUUAUACCUUACUGUUGCCUCGGCGCAUGCCGGCCCCCAGGGGCCCCUCGGAGACGAGGAGCAGGCACGCCGGCGGCCAACCUAACUCUUGUUUUUACACUGAAACUCUGAGAAAAAAAACAAAAUGAAUCAAAACUUUUAGCAAUGGAUCUCUAGAUCGG